Molecule: ribosomal RNA, 503 nt
Filed under: uncultured bacterium
Lineage: Bacteria
Description: partial 16S ribosomal RNA
Rfam family: Bacterial small subunit ribosomal RNA
Source: RNAcentral
AUUGAACGCUGGCGGCAGGCUUAACACAUGCAAGUCGAGCGGGGUGAUGGUGCUUGCACUAUCACUUAGCGGCGGACGGGUGAGUAAUGCUUAGGAAUCUGCCUAUUAGUGGGGGACAACAUCUCGAAAGGGAUGCUAAUACCGCAUACGUCCUACGGGAGAAAGCAGGGGAUCACUUGUGACCUUGCGCUAAUAGAUGAGCCUAGGUCGGAUUAGCUAGUUGGUGGGGUAAAGUCCUACCAAGGCGACGAUCUGUAGCGGGUCUGAGAGGAUGAUCCGCCACACUGGGACUGAGACACGGCCCAGACUCCUACGGGAGGCAGCAGUGGGGAAUAUUGGACAAUGGGGGGAGCCCUGAUCCAGCCAUGCCGCGUGUGUGAAGAAGGCCUUAUGGUUGUAAAGCACUUUAAGCGAGGAGGAGGCUCUUUUGGUUAAUACCCAAGAUGAGUGGACGUUACUCGCAGAAUAAGCACCGGCUAACUCUGUGCCAGCCGCCGCUGUAA